UACAGAGGGGGCAAGCGUUGUUCGGAAUUACUGGGCGUAAAGGGCGCGUAGGCGGCCUGCUAAGUCGAACGUGAAAUCCCCGGGCUCAACCCGGGAACUGCGUCCGAUACUGGCAGGCUUGAAUCCGGGAGAGGGAUGUGGAAUUCCAGGUGUAGCGGUGAAAUGCGUAGAUAUCUGGAGGAAUACCGGUGGCGAAGGCGGCAUCCUGGACCGACAUUGACGCUGAGGAGCGAAAGCUAGGGGAGCAAACGGG
This 253-nucleotide ribosomal RNA is filed under the name uncultured bacterium. Its description in RNAcentral is "partial 16S ribosomal RNA". It matches the Rfam family "Bacterial small subunit ribosomal RNA", at positions 524 to 776 of the family's 1533-position model. The record is from RNAcentral.